RNAcentral lists this ribosomal RNA (256 nucleotides) under Salmonella enterica subsp. enterica serovar Newport. RNAcentral's name for it is "partial 23S ribosomal RNA". It matches the Rfam family "Bacterial large subunit ribosomal RNA", at positions 558 to 816 of the family's 2925-position model. Lineage: Bacteria; Pseudomonadati; Pseudomonadota; Gammaproteobacteria; Enterobacterales; Enterobacteriaceae. The record is from RNAcentral.
GUGUACGUACAAGCAGUGGGAGCACCCUUUGGGGUGUGACUGCGUACCUUUUGUAUAAUGGGUCAGCGACUUAUAUUCUGUAGCAAGGUUAACCGUAUAGGGGAGCCGAAGGGAAACCGAGUCUUAACCGGGCGUUAAGUUGCAGGGUAUAGACCCGAAACCCGGUGAUCUAGCCAUGGGCAGGUUGAAGGUUGGGUAACACUAACUGGAGGACCGAACCGACUAAUGUUGAAAAAUUAGCGGAUGACCUGUGGCU